AACUAGGUCUUUGAUGAGCUAGCAUGCAUUUCCGCAUGGGCAUCUCCCUCCCCACCUGUUUAACUAAGUUCAUGUUAUCUUUUCCAGACUCCAAUCAAAGGAAAGAUGCAGAAAAUGAUGAUGAUGAAGACGACUGGAAGGGAAACAAUCAGGGAAGUAGCAUGAGAGGUAUGCAGGAAAGAUUCGCAUGGAACACUCAUUUGAGCAAGAUAGUACCAGUAACUUUUAUUAUCCGAGAAUCAUGGGGUUACAUUAUUAGAUAACCUCGAUCUCGGACCUUCAGCACGAUUGGCCUGUUGGGAGGUAGAAGUUAGAGGAUUACACAUCCUCGACCUCAGACCUUCAGCACUAUUAGCCUAUUGGAAGGUAGAUGUUAGAGGAUUACACAUCCUCGACCUCGGACCUUCAGUAUGAUUGGCCUGUUGGGUAAAAGUUAGAAGAUUACACAUCCUCGACCUCGGACCUUCAACACGAAUUAUCUGUUUGGAGGUAAAGGUUACAUAAUUAUAUAUCCCCGAUCUCGGACCUUCAGCGAGAUUAUUUUAUUGUGAGGCUGAAGUUAAUCGGUUAUACAUUCUCAAUCACAGACCUAUGCUGUAGCUAAUCUCAACUAUAAAGUAAAGACCAGAUGAUUAGAAAAGAUCAAUAAAUCAGUCAAUCACUUUCCUCUUAUGAUGUAUCACAACAGUCAAAUAAAUUAUCAUGAAGAACUUUUAAAUUGAAAACCCAAUGCAUCACCUAGAAACACUAAGCAAAGGAUCUUUAAAUUGUAAUUGUUAUCCUUUUGCGUGCUCCAUUUUAUUUUCAGAUGGAACAUUGUUUUCCAAUGAGAUAUGAAUUAUCAUUAUAAAGCCACGCAAUUUGUUUCAGUGGCUCAA
Long non-coding RNA from Carya illinoinensis, 878 nucleotides. RefSeq lists it as uncharacterized. The transcript is spliced from 2 exons. NCBI's taxonomy places the organism in Eukaryota, Viridiplantae, Streptophyta, Magnoliopsida, Fagales, Juglandaceae. The record is from RefSeq and is a predicted model, not a curated record.